This 1372-nucleotide ribosomal RNA is filed under the name uncultured bacterium. Its description in RNAcentral is "bacterial SSU rRNA". It matches the Rfam family "Bacterial small subunit ribosomal RNA", at positions 28 to 1381 of the family's 1533-position model. The record is from RNAcentral.
GAUGAACGCUGGCGGCGUGCCUAAUACAUGCAAGUCGAGCGAACGGACGAGAAGCUUGCUUCUCUGAUGUUAGCGGCGGACGGGUGAGUAACACGUGGAUAACCUACCUAUAAGACUGGGAUAACUUCGGGAAACCGGAGCUAAUACCGGAUAAUAUUUUGAACCGCAUGGUUCAAAAGUGAAAGACGGUCUUGCUGUCACUUAUAGAUGGAUCCGCGCUGCAUUAGCUAGUUGGUAAGGUAACGGCUUACCAAGGCAACGAUGCAUAGCCGACCUGAGAGGGUGAUCGGCCACACUGGAACUGAGACACGGUCCAGACUCCUACGGGAGGCAGCAGUAGGGAAUCUUCCGCAAUGGGCGAAAGCCUGACGGAGCAACGCCGCGUGAGUGAUGAAGGUCUUCGGAUCGUAAAACUCUGUUAUUAGGGAAGAACAUAUGUGUAAGUAACUGUGCACAUCUUGACGGUACCUAAUCAGAAAGCCACGGCUAACUACGUGCCAGCAGCCGCGGUAAUACGUAGGUGGCAAGCGUUAUCCGGAAUUAUUGGGCGUAAAGCGCGCGUAGGCGGUUUUUUAAGUCUGAUGUGAAAGCCCACGGCUCAACCGUGGAGGGUCAUUGGAAACUGGAAAACUUGAGUGCAGUAGAGGAAAGUGGAAUUCCAUGUGUAGCGGUGAAAUGCGCAGAGAUAUGGAGGAACACCAGUGGCGAAGGCGACUUUCUGGUCUGUAACUGACGCUGAUGUGCGAAAGCGUGGGGAUCAAACAGGAUUAGAUACCCUGGUAGUCCACGCCGUAAACGAUGAGUGCUGAGUGUUAGGGGGUUUCCGCCCCUUAGUGCUGCAGCUAACGCAUUAAGCACUCCGCCUGGGGAGUACGACCGCAAGGUUGAAACUCAAAGGAAUUGACGGGGACCCGCACAAGCGGUGGAGCAUGUGGUUUAAUUCGAAGCAACGCGAAGAACCUUACCAAAUCUUGACAUCCUUUGACAACUCUAGAGAUAGAGCCUUCCCCUUCGGGGGACAAAGUGACAGGUGGUGCAUGGUUGUCGUCAGCUCGUGUCGUGAGAUGUUGGGUUAAGUCCCGCAACGAGCGCAACCCUUAAGCUUAGUUGCCAUCAUUAAGUUGGGCACUCUAAGUUGACUGCCGGUGACAAACCGGAGGAAGGUGGGGAUGACGUCAAAUCAUCAUGCCCCUUAUGAUUUGGGCUACACACGUGCUACAAUGGACAAUACAAAGGGCAGCGAAACCGCGAGGUCAAGCAAAUCCCAUAAAGUUGUUCUCAGUUCGGAUUGUAGUCUGCAACUCGACUACAUGAAGCUGGAAUCGCUAGUAAUCGUAGAUCAGCAUGCUACGGUGAAUACGUUCCCGGGUCU